CCCUCUGGUGCCCACAGCUGUGGGGCAGUUGCUGUCAUUGCCACAAGCUCUGGAGCCAACAGCAGGAGACCCUGCCUUGCAUCCACCAUCCGGGGACCCCUGGGCACUGCAGAAGGUGUGAGUCUGCUGUGAGGAAGCCAUAACCGGAGACCCAGAGUGACGGGAAGGAAUGAGCAACAAGCCAGCAACGUCAGUGGGGAGCGAGCGGACCAAGCUGCGAACCCUGGCCCGCCAAGACUCCUGUGUUGUUCCUGUCAUUCCAACACCAGUGGCCGGCGCUCAGGUCGCCAGGCCACACGCGCUGAGGACCCUGGCUGUGACGCCCUUCUCAUGCUCCGCCUACACAUGGUCUCACUAUGCAGCCCAGGCUGGCUUCAAACUCAAGG
Long non-coding RNA from Heterocephalus glaber (naked mole-rat), 386 nucleotides. Lineage: Eukaryota; Metazoa; Chordata; Mammalia; Rodentia; Bathyergidae. The record is from Ensembl.